This 76-nucleotide transfer RNA is filed under the name Candidatus Obscuribacterales bacterium. Its description in RNAcentral is "tRNA-Met". It matches the Rfam family "tRNA". Rfam says of the family: Transfer RNA (tRNA) molecules are approximately 80 nucleotides in length. Their secondary structure includes four short double-helical elements and three loops (D, anti-codon, and T loops). Lineage: Bacteria; Bacillati; Candidatus Melainabacteria; Candidatus Obscuribacterales. The record is from RNAcentral.
AGCAGAGUAGUGUAACGGUCAACACGGCAGGCUCAUAACCUGUAAAUUACCGGUUCGAAUCCGGUCUCUGCGACCA